AGGGUACGAAUAACGGAAGCGCUUGGCGACGAUGCCAAAGGACAAAAGGAAGCGAGCUAACACGUGAAAACAAAGAUAUGAUUGGAUUGGAUUUGAGUCGCAGCUUAGUAAGGAAAGCGCCUAAGGUUAUGAGUUUGAUUCGAGGACGAAUCAUCUCGAAGAGGGAGGGAAUGAUAGAGAUCGGACCAGCCCAUUCAUAGACUCUUUUCCAAGGAAUAGGAUGUCCAAUUACAAGGUCCAAGCCUAAAGGAAUGAAUCAAGCUUUGCAAGGAUUUUUCCUUCAAAUUAAGAAUGAUGGUUUGGGCCCAACAUGAAGGCAGAUUUGUCAAGAGCCCAAUCUCCAUGUUAAAGAUGCAUUCAUGAGCUGAAAUUAUACAAAUUAGAGACUAAUAAUUAUUGGACCUUCAUAACUACAAAAUAAGUCCAAUAUUUUUAUUCUCUUUUGAAUUUUCGUAUUUAAUUUAGGGGUGAAUUUUCUGAAGACAUUUUGUAUUCCCCCUAGUUGGUUUUUAAUGUCUUUUAUGAGCCUUUGACUCAUCUUUAGGAAUAGUGGGUUUUUACUCAAGUUUCCAAUGCUAGUGGAGCUAUAAAUCUCUAGUGGAGUCUAUUAAAUGUUAGUGGGAGCAUUAUUACU
Long non-coding RNA from Lotus japonicus, 634 nucleotides. RefSeq lists it as uncharacterized. The transcript is spliced from 2 exons. The record is from RefSeq and is a predicted model, not a curated record. NCBI's taxonomy places the organism in Eukaryota, Viridiplantae, Streptophyta, Magnoliopsida, Fabales, Fabaceae.